Molecule: long non-coding RNA, 2143 nt
Filed under: Nicotiana tabacum (common tobacco)
Lineage: Eukaryota; Viridiplantae; Streptophyta; Magnoliopsida; Solanales; Solanaceae
Description: long non-coding RNA (NTAB_LNC011087)
Source: RNAcentral
UUUAAAAUUUAUGGGUUCUUCUGACCUUUCUGAGAAUUUAUGUACUUCUUUGAAUAACGUACAUGUAGAAGAAUCCAUGGGAUUUAUAAUUGAUACUUGGCUAUAUCAUAAGAGUGUCUUAUUUAAUACAUGUGGCAGAAAUACUUGUGUUAAAUGGAUGCAUGACCAAUAUUUUAUAAUUUCUUUGGCAUGCACAUGUUUGGACUACCUUAUUGACAAGAUCGCAUUGUAAAUUUCAUUACAUAGUGCAUCUAAGAGAGGUUGUUAUUGGACAACUCUAAGUAAGCAUAAAUUUUAUUGGGAUGAUGAUGUCCAUAUGCUUUAUAAAAGAGUAUUUACACCUAUUAGGCUUAAUUGGAUUAAGUGGACACAUGGUCACUAUCUUAUUUUAUUUCUACCAUUUUUUCAUAUUAGUGGAUGCCACUUACUAGUGCGUGACUUUUUUUUCUUGCAAGGUCGAAAUUCGAGGACGAAUUUUCUUCAAGAAGAGGGAAAUUAUAGCAUCCUAGGAAGCUAAAAUCUAUUCAAGGACAAGAAUGAAGCUUUGGAAUCUGAAAGAGGGCCUUUAACAAAAUGUCAAGCUAAAGAGUUUCAAAACAAAGUCAUUAGACUUCAAGUGCAAAUAAAAAAGUUAUUAAUUGGGAUGGAGAGUUCAAGGAUAAAGGAUAUGAGUUGUCUAGAUAUUAUAAUUAUUUUAUGGUCCAAAUUCAUGUCCAAGAAAAGGUGGAUUAGAUCUCAAGAGACAUCCUCUGAAGAAGGUCCAAAUCAGGCCAUUAUUGGACCUAUUUGGCACCUAAAAAUGUGUCCAAACUUGCAGCCCAAUAAGUCCUACAUGAAGCCAAAUUUUUAUAACAUAAAAAGGAUUUACUUGCUGCCCAAACAAGGUUCAAUAGGCGUGAUAGAAGUUGGGUACAAGUUGCUUGCAAGUUGCCUCCAAGAUUUCCAAGAUCCUAUCCAUGAUUGGUUUGCGACUUUCAAGAUUCUGUCCAAGAUUGGUUUUAACUUAUUUUCAUAUAUUUUGGUACUAGAUUUAUUGCUUUCCUAGGUAGUUAAGGUUAUGUUUUUCUUUUUCUAAGAUUGUUGGAGUAACUUUCCAAGAUUGACUUGGUUUUUGUUUCCUAGUAUUUUUUCUUUUCCUAAGGUAUUUGGACUUGUUGUCCAAAGUAGUUUAGGACUUUAUUUCCUUAUUUUUAGGUAGGAAUUUCGUGACCCCCUCUCUAUAUAAAGGGGUAUCUUCUUUGUUUUUAGAUUUUAGAUUAUUAUAGACAAUAUCAAUAAAAAUUAUGAGAUUUUUCUUGCACUCUUGUGUGUGACUACUCUUGGAUUUAUUCUUCAACCUUCAAGACUCAACUUAAGGUGGUAAUAUUAAACUCUUUCGAAAUCUUAGAUCACUACUAGGUAUUCAAGAAAGGUGAUAAGUUUAGGCUUAUUGUUGUUCUUGUUAUUCUAAAGAGUCGGGUUUCACAAUCUAUCUCUUGUUUUUAAUUCUCUACCAAAGACGAUUAGUUCUUUGUUAGCUAAUUGUUGUUGUUAGGAUUCAACUUCAAGAAUAGACUUCUUGAAUUCAAGAAACUUUUUCUUGAAUUCAAUCUAUCUUUAAUUUUCCGUUGUUUUUUUGUUUCUUUAUUUUCUUUUAGCUUCCGCACGUUUUUUGAUUUUCUUUAGUAAUUCUUGGACCCCUAUCGUGUUGUUAUCAUAAGAUCUGUUGUUGCUUCUUCUGCCUGGAUGCUCUCCUCAUCUUUAUACCUGUUGUUAUUUUUACUUCCUGUUUUCUCAAAAAUUAGAUUAGUGUAAUGAACAAAUUUAGCAGCAAACUAAGACAGAGUAGAAAGAGUGUCUAGUAAAUUUUUGAGAGAAUUCAAGUCAGGCUCAUAGUAUUAUGCACAAUAAAUUGCCAUAAGUAACAUCAAAGAGGUAAGUAGAAAUUCAUUAGCUAAGAGUAAGAACCAUAUCAAACAUACCCAACCUAGUCAAAAUACGGAAGUUUGGGUGUUCGAGUCUGUCCUUUCCUCAAUCAAUAUAGCCAACCAUCGCUAGGUGAGGCUGUUCUUGAAGUUUCAGCUACCAGAGAAGAUAAUUUUCAGCUGGGAAUUUUACCUUGGAUGAAGCUCUGACCUUUGAGGGAAGAGAUGCUCAGAACGUG